GAUGAACGCUAGCUACAGGCUUAACACAUGCAAGUCGAGGGGAAACGACAUCGAAAGCUUGCUUUUGAUGGGCGUCGACCGGCGCACGGGUGAGUAACGCGUAUCCAACCUGCCCAUCACUUGGGGAUAACCUUGCGAAAGUAAGACUAAUACCCAAUGAUAUCUCUAGAAGACAUCUGAAAGAGAUUAAAGAUUUAUCGGUGAUGGAUGGGGAUGCGUCUGAUUAGCUUGUUGGCGGGGUAACGGCCCACCAAGGCAACGAUCAGUAGGGGUUCUGAGAGGAAGGUCCCCCACAUUGGAACUGAGACACGGUCCAAACUCCUACGGGAGGCAGCAGUGAGGAAUAUUGGUCAAUGGGCGAGAGCCUGAACCAGCCAAGUAGCGUGCAGGAAGACGGCCCUAUGGGUUGUAAACUGCUUUUAUAAGGGAAUAAAGUGAGAGUCGUGACUCUUUUUGUAUGUACCUUAUGAAUAAGGACCGGCUAAUUCCGU
This 491-nucleotide ribosomal RNA is filed under the name uncultured bacterium. RNAcentral's name for it is "partial 16S ribosomal RNA". It matches the Rfam family "Bacterial small subunit ribosomal RNA", at positions 28 to 506 of the family's 1533-position model. The record is from RNAcentral.